Molecule: small nuclear RNA, 314 nt
Filed under: Carlito syrichta (Philippine tarsier)
Lineage: Eukaryota; Metazoa; Chordata; Mammalia; Primates; Tarsiidae
Description: 7SK RNA (ENSTSYG00000020047.2)
Rfam family: 7SK RNA
About the family: 7SK was discovered as an abundant small nuclear RNA in the mid-70s but a possible function has only recently been suggested. Two independent studies have found that 7SK RNA binds the CDK9/cyclin T complex (known as elongation factor P-TEFb).
Source: Rfam by way of RNAcentral
UGAUCACCAAGGCUGUGACAUCUGUCACCCCACUGCCUGCCAGAGCUGACUUGCUGCUCUGGCUGCUGGGUGGUGUCCUCUUCCUCCCUCCCGGUUCCUCAUGCAUCCCUUCUGAAGCUGUGAGCUCAGUGGAAGAGGAGGACCUUCCCUGGUGGAGGAGGACGGCCCUCUGGUCAAGGGGGUACGGGUGCUGUGCUCCCUGCUGACCUCCAGCAAGUCUCAGAAUCCCUUGGUAGGAAGAUGCAGGGGAGUGGGGCUUUGAGACUCCAGACACAUCCAGAGGAGGCACUGCUUGUUGUUGUCUGCCUUGCUUA